CAUGGCUCAGGAUGAACGCUAGCGGGAGGCCUAACACAUGCAAGCCGAGCGGUAGAGAUUCUUCGGAAUCUUGAGAGCGGCGUACGGGUGCGGAACACGUGUGCAACCUGCCUUUAUCAAGGGGAUAGCCUUUCGAAAGGAAGAUUAAUACCCUAUAAUAUAUUGACUGGCAUCAGUUAAUAUUGAAAACUACGGUGGAUAAAGAUGGGCACGCGCAAGAUUAGCUAGUUGGUGAGGUAACGGCUCACCAAGGCGACGAUCUUUAGGGGGCCUGAGAGGGUGAUCCCCCACACUGGUACUGAGACACGGACCAGACUCCUACGG
This 324-nucleotide ribosomal RNA is filed under the name uncultured bacterium. RNAcentral's name for it is "bacterial SSU rRNA". It matches the Rfam family "Bacterial small subunit ribosomal RNA", at positions 18 to 344 of the family's 1533-position model. The record is from RNAcentral.